This 434-nucleotide ribosomal RNA is filed under the name uncultured Lachnospiraceae bacterium. Its description in RNAcentral is "partial 16S ribosomal RNA". It matches the Rfam family "Bacterial small subunit ribosomal RNA", at positions 341 to 792 of the family's 1533-position model. Lineage: Bacteria; Bacillati; Bacillota; Clostridia; Lachnospirales; Lachnospiraceae. The record is from RNAcentral.
ACGGAAGGCAGCAGUGGGGAAUAUUGGACAAUGGGGGAAACCCUGAUCUAGCGACGCCGCGUGAGUGAAGAAGUAUUUCGGUAUGUAAAGCUCUAUCAGCAGGAAAGAAAAUGACGGUACCUGACUAAGAAGCCCCGGCUAACUACGUGCCAGCAGCCGCGGUAAUACGUAGGGGGCAAGCGUUAUCCGGAUUUACUGGGUGUAAAGGGAGCGUAGACGGCCACGCAAGUCUGAAGUGAAAGCCCGGGGCUCAACCCCGGAACUGCUUUGGAAACUGUGAGGCUAGAGUGCAGGAGAGGUAAGCGGAAUUCCUAGUGUAGCGGUGAAAUGCGUAGAUAUUAGGAGGAACACCAGCGGCGAAGGCGGCUUACUGGACUGUAACUGACGUUGAGGCUCGAAGGCGUGGGGAGCAAACAGGAUUAGAUACCCUGGUA